CUUGUGCUGUUCCCUGUUGCGGAAUUCUGCAGCGCACCAGCUCCUAGCUUGGGCCUUGAGCUACAUUAUUCACUUUUCACCCAAUAGUUCCAGCACCUGCCUUUUAUCUUGACUCCCAAGAGAACCUGGAACUGGCCUUCCAUUGCUGUGAGUCUUCCCUGGGAAAUUGCUGGUGGCUGUUCCCAAGAUAAAGGACAUUUUAAGAGAAGCAGGAACAGGAACUUGAAUACUUUUCACCCUGAAAUACUUGCCAGCUGAGAUCCUGGGUGCAACUACUAUGAAAAGUCCUCAAUCACACCCCCUGGUCACCAACCACACUCUUCCUCUGAUACAGAAAAAUGAUUAUGCAAAAUGUUCUCACACCACCACUCUGAAGAAAAUAGGAGCUGCUAUUGCAUGAAUACAGA
Long non-coding RNA from Alligator sinensis (Chinese alligator), 407 nucleotides. RefSeq lists it as uncharacterized. The record is from RefSeq and is a predicted model, not a curated record. Lineage: Eukaryota; Metazoa; Chordata; Crocodylia; Alligatoridae. The transcript has 3 exons.